Long non-coding RNA from Electrophorus electricus (electric eel), 447 nucleotides. RefSeq lists it as uncharacterized. Lineage: Eukaryota; Metazoa; Chordata; Actinopteri; Gymnotiformes; Gymnotidae. The record is from RefSeq and is a predicted model, not a curated record.
AAAAAAAAAAUCAAAUAAAAUACCAUCAAAUAAGACCGAGAGGACGGAGGACCGGGUCGAAGCGCCCUACAAUGGGCGGCCCAGCUCUUCUGGUAGAUAUUUGCUGCCUUCUGUCCAAUACCUACACAGGCAGUUCUUGAUUUUAGGGUCAAGAAAUGAACAGGUUCCAGCGUGUGAGUGAGUGAGUGUGUCGGUUUGGUGUGACAGUGGGAAAAACAACAACAACAAAGCUACACGAAGAGAGAAACAGCACUGGUGUGUCAGCACCAGUGGAAAACGGUUUCCCUGGAUUAACCUCAGAGGGGCGUGAGUGAACUCCAGUAUCUCCUCACAGGCAGAAGGCACGAACACACCACACUGGCCUCUACUAUAAUGUAUGAACACAUUUGGCUUUAUCUAAAUCACUGUGCUCCAGUGAUAAAUAAAACUGCUUUUUGUUACAAUUAA